Molecule: ribosomal RNA, 755 nt
Filed under: marine CFB-group bacterium SY227
Lineage: Bacteria; Pseudomonadati; Bacteroidota
Description: bacterial SSU rRNA
Rfam family: Bacterial small subunit ribosomal RNA
Source: RNAcentral
AGGGGCAGCACGAUCUUCGGAUUGGUGGCGACCGGCGCACGGGUGCGUAACGCGUAUGCAACUUACCCAUUACUGGGGGAUAGCCCGGGGAAACUCGGAUUAAUACCCCAUAGUACCAUUUGAUGGCAUCUGAGGAUGGUUAAAGAUUUAUUGGUAAUGGAUGGGCAUGCGUCNGANUUNGUUAGUUGGUGAGGUAACGGCUCACCAAGACGAUGAUCAGUAGGGGGUCUGAGAGGAUGAUCCCCCACACUGGUACUGAGAUACGGACCAGACUCCUACGGGAGGCAGCAGUAGGGAAUAUUGGUCAAUGGGCGAGAGCCUGAACCAGCCAUGCCGCGUGCAGGAUGACGGCCUUCUGGGUUGUAAACUGCUUUUCUACAGGAAGAAAAAGCCCUUGCGAGGGAAAUUGCCGGUACUGUAGGAAUAAGCACCGGCUAACUCCGUGCCAGCAGCCGCGGUAAUACGGAGGGUGCAAGCGUUGUCCGGAUUUAUUGGGUUUAAAGGGUGCGUAGGCGGGUCUUUAAGUCCGUGGUGAAAGCCCAUCGCUCAACGAUGGAACUGCCAUGGAUACUGGAGGCCUUGAAUUCAGUUGAGGUAGGCGGAAUUGAUGGUGUAGCGGUGAAAUGUAUAGAUACCAUCAGGAACACCGAUUGCGAAGGCAGCUUACUGGGCUUGAAUUGACGCUGAGGCACGAAAGCGUGGGGAGCGAACAGGAUUAGAUACCCCUGGUAGUCCACGCCGUAAACGAUGAUAAC